CUCAUCCUGGGAUUCUGAAACUGAUUGCAAAGGUCAAGGGAAAGUGAGGGCCAACCUGAUGCUUCCUGCUGCAGUUGGCAAGAAUUUGGAUGUGCGCUCUGUUGCAGUGGAGCACAGCAAAGGUAUCCUGCCAGCAGCAGGAGCAGAGAAGGAAGAAUAUUUUGUCCCUUCUUCUAAGAAAAAGGUACUUAGCUCUGUUACAGAUGAAUUGCAUUGCCUUUGGCUGAAGUCAGAUGCAGUGUGAUGCUGCACUCUUGACGAGGAUUCUUUUCUCCACUGGGUCUCUGUUUUCUUGCUCGCUUAGCUGCCUACAUUGGAGAGAAAAAAUCUUCAGCUAAGAUUUGAUU
This is a long non-coding RNA of Empidonax traillii (willow flycatcher), 347 nucleotides long. RefSeq lists it as uncharacterized. NCBI's taxonomy places the organism in Eukaryota, Metazoa, Chordata, Aves, Passeriformes, Tyrannidae. The transcript is spliced from 4 exons. The record is from RefSeq and is a predicted model, not a curated record.